AGUAUGCUGCCCAAGGUAUGGAGGUCAAGUUUAAUGAAGGGAGCUAGUGGAAAGAGUGACUUAACCAAGGUUGCAUGGAGGUCCUUCAAGCUCAGCCAUGGAGUUUUUCUCUCACUUUGUUUCGGCUGGUUUGUCCCAAGGUUGAAGAUGACAGAAUUUUCUGUCCAAAGGUUGAUUAAAGGUCCACUUAAGUGAUGUUAGUGGAGCACUAAUUGAUUAAAAAUCUAUUUUAAUGUUAAACUUUCCAAUUUUUGCAAUUUGGCCACCACACUUUCACUAUUUACAUAAUGUAUCUCAUUUUAAUUUUUCAUGGUAUUUUCAAAGUUUA
Molecule: unclassified non-coding RNA, 328 nt
Filed under: Hevea brasiliensis (rubber tree)
Lineage: Eukaryota; Viridiplantae; Streptophyta; Magnoliopsida; Malpighiales; Euphorbiaceae
Source: RNAcentral